This 797-nucleotide unclassified non-coding RNA is filed under the name Hevea brasiliensis (rubber tree). The record is from RNAcentral. Lineage: Eukaryota; Viridiplantae; Streptophyta; Magnoliopsida; Malpighiales; Euphorbiaceae.
AGAAAAGUAACAUGUAAAGCUUCAAUGUUCGUGAAGCCUCAAUUAUUUAACAUGCCAAAUUAAAACCGGCUACGUACUAUCACUCCUCACCCAACAAGAAAUACCCUCUCAGGCUCUCCUUGCUUGUGUCUUCUUCGCAUUCUUCUUCUUCUUCUUUACCAUAGUUGUCGUCAUCUUCGAAAUUCAGGGUUUUCGGAACGGUGACAACCAACUGCCCGCCUAUACAUCUCGCGCUAGUCAUCUUCGGAAAAGUCGUCGUCGGAAGCCUGAAACGCCACAUGUCAAUGUCGAGAUCCUCCACCGAAGCGCGAUCGACACUCUGCGCUCCUCUUAUUGCGAUCUUUGUCACUCCAGGUAAUAUCUCGAUCACAUGAGCCUGAAAAUCGUCAGUUAUGGUUAUGUCCCCACCGUUGGCAACGAAACGGAAACAUUCUUUAGUUUCUUGGACAAAAACUUCGGCGUCAGAGUUGAAGGGAAGCUCCAGGACUCUGGCAAAUACGUGAGGGAGUCUCUUAAGUUUCUUAGGGAUUGGGUUGCCGGCGGUGGUGGAAAAAGCCACACCAUUUUGGGAGGCGGUGAGAUCCCUUUUCUUUGGAGAUGGGUGAACCUUCAUUGUCGAAAAGGCUAGGAAAGCCUUGAUAACAGAGAAAGAAGAUAAAGAUCGAAAUGGGACCAAAAGUUUAUGAGAAGUGGAAAGGGAGAGUGAUUCUUGGCUUGGAAUAAAGGAAAAAUCUACGCUCAUUAGCGAAAGAAAUACACAGGUAUUAUUACGGUGUAAAAAUUGUCAUUGAAUCAAU